AGUGAACGCUGGCGGUAGGCCUAACACAUGCAAGUCGAACGGCAGCACAGUAAGAGCUUGCUCUUACGGGAGGCGAGUGGCGGACGGGUGAGGAAUACAUCGGAAUCUACUUUUUCGUGGGGGAUAACGUAGGGAAACUUACGCUAAUAAAGCAUAAGAGCUACGGGUGAAAGCAGGGGAACUUCGGACAUAGCGAGAUUGAAUGAGCCGAUGUCGGAUUAGCUAGUUGGCGGGGUAAAGGCCCACCAAGGCGACGAUCCGUAGCUGGUCUGAGAGGAUGAUCAGCCACACUGGAACUGAGACACGGUCCAGACUCCUACGGGAGGCAGCAGUGGGGAAUAUUGGACAAUGGGCGCAAGCCUGAUCCAGCCAUACCGCGUGGGUGAAGAAGGCCUUCGGCUUGUAAAGCCCUUUUGUUGGGAAAGAAAAGCAGCAGGUUAAUACCCCGCUGUUCUGACGGUACCCACAGAAUAAGCACCGGCUAACUUCGUG
RNAcentral lists this ribosomal RNA (492 nucleotides) under uncultured bacterium. RNAcentral's name for it is "partial 16S ribosomal RNA". It matches the Rfam family "Bacterial small subunit ribosomal RNA", at positions 29 to 507 of the family's 1533-position model. The record is from RNAcentral.